CCUACGGGCGGCUGCAGUAGGGAAUCUUCCACAAUGGGCGCAAGCCUGAUGGAGCAACGCCGCGUGGGGGAAGAAGGUCUUCGGAUCGUAAAACUCUUUUGUUAGAGAAGAAAGUGCGUGAGAGUAACUGUUCACGUUUCGACGGUAUCUAACCAGAAAGGCACGGCUAACUACGUGCCAGCAGCCGCGGUAAUACGGAGGUGGCAAGCGUUAUCCGGAUUUAUUGGGCGUAAAGGGAGCGCAGACGGUCUUUUAAGUCUGAUGUGAAAGCCUUCGGCUUAACCGGAGUAGUGCAUUGGAAACUGGCAGACUUGAGUGCAGAAGAGGAGGGUGGAACUCGAUGUGUAGCGGUGAAAUGCGUAGAUAUAUGGAAGAACACCAGUGGCGAAAGCGGCUCUCUGGUCUGUAACUGACGCUGAGGUUCGAAAGCGUGGGUAGCAAACAGGAUUAGAUACCCUUGUAGUC
RNAcentral lists this ribosomal RNA (465 nucleotides) under uncultured bacterium. Its description in RNAcentral is "partial 16S ribosomal RNA". It matches the Rfam family "Bacterial small subunit ribosomal RNA", at positions 338 to 795 of the family's 1533-position model. The record is from RNAcentral.